Molecule: ribosomal RNA, 497 nt
Filed under: uncultured bacterium
Lineage: Bacteria
Description: partial 16S ribosomal RNA
Rfam family: Bacterial small subunit ribosomal RNA
Source: RNAcentral
GAUGAACGCUGGCGGCGUGCCUAAUACAUGCAAGUCGAGCGAACAGAUGAGGAGCUUGCUCCUCUGACGUUAGCGGCGGACGGGUGAGUAACACGUGGAUAACCUACCUAUAAGACUGGGAUAACUUCGGGAAACCGGAGCUAAUACCGGAUAAUAUAUUGAACCGCAUGGUUCAAUAGUGAAAGACGGUUUUGCUGUCACUUAUAGAUGGAUCCGCGCCGCAUUAGCUAGUUGGUAAGGUAACGGCUUACCAAGGCAACGAUGCGUAGCCGACCUGAGAGGGUGAUCGGCCACACUGGAACUGAGACACGGUCCAGACUCCUACGGGAGGCAGCAGUAGGGAAUCUUCCGCAAUGGGCGAAAGCCUGACGGAGCAACGCCGCGUGAGUGAUGAAGGUCUUCGGAUCGUAAAACUCUGUUAUUAGGAAAGAACAAAUGUGUAAGUAACUAUGCACGUCUUGACGGUACCUAAUCAGAAAGCCACGGCUAACUACGUG